AGCGAGAUAGUGUAAUGGUAGCACAAUAGCCUCAUGACCUGUUAGUUUGGGUUCAAAUCCUAAUUUCGCUA
Molecule: transfer RNA, 71 nt
Filed under: Tricholoma matsutake
Lineage: Eukaryota; Fungi; Basidiomycota; Agaricomycetes; Agaricales; Tricholomataceae
Also listed under: 1 other name
Description: tRNA-Met
Rfam family: tRNA
About the family: Transfer RNA (tRNA) molecules are approximately 80 nucleotides in length.
Source: RNAcentral